Molecule: unclassified non-coding RNA, 314 nt
Filed under: plant metagenome
Description: partial contains 5.8S ribosomal RNA, internal transcribed spacer 2, and large subunit ribosomal RNA
Rfam family: 5.8S ribosomal RNA (bases 1-105)
Source: RNAcentral
GAAACGCGAUAGUUAAUGUGAAUUGCAGAAUUCAGUGAAUCAUCGAGUCUUUGAACGCACAUUGCGCCCAUAGGUAUUCCUUUGGGCAUGUCUGUUUGAGCGUCAUUACAACCCUCAGCUAACCGCUGGUUUUGAACCUGAACGGGUGACACCGCGCCGGUUUUAAAGUUGUAAGCUCUGCUGGCCGCUCUGCCCAACCAGAACAUAGUAAGCACUACUUGUCCGGGUGAAGCUGAACGGUACGGCCUGAACAAAACCUACCCACUCUCAAGGUUUGACCUGAGAUCAGACAAGGAUACCCGCUGAACUUAAGC